This is a long non-coding RNA of Cyprinus carpio (common carp), 2283 nucleotides long. RefSeq lists it as uncharacterized. Lineage: Eukaryota; Metazoa; Chordata; Actinopteri; Cypriniformes; Cyprinidae. The record is from RefSeq and is a predicted model, not a curated record. The transcript has 4 exons.
UGUUGCUCAAUAGUGACACAUGAUAUCAACAUCAAGAUUGUGGGCUCCACCCCAAGCGAAAGUACAUACUGAUAAAAUGUAUCGAGUGUCUGCUACAUGUAUAAAUAUGAUUCUUUCUUACCUCAUGCAUCUCAUCAUCUCAUGAAACUGAUAACAUUCUAGCAGAGGAGAAAACACUUCAGGGAAGCCUGUUUGCACGCAGGAUGGAGAUACUUAUUGGGGCUUGCGUCAUGCUCACUCUCAGUAUUGUGCUUGUAGUUGGAUUGAGCGGUGAGUAAAUGUCUUUAGGGAGUACUUAAUACACCCAGAGAUGUACAGUAAUGGAGUACAAGUACUCCAUUAGGUAUUGGAAAUUGCUAUUAAAUUUGAAUAUAUGAGCAUCUCUAUGAGACCUGGUUACAUGAGUACCUGGGUUUACGUGAACACCAUGGAGUAAUGGAGACCAUAUACUUUAGUUUAGAUUAGAUGCAAUUAUGGGACGCCUGCAAGGUGGGUAGGUGAUAUUGUUGAAGGAACCUUAGAAUGUAACCAACAUUUUUUAUUACUAUGUUCCCAAAAAUAGACUCACCUACACCAUUUACACUCGUCAUGUACAACAAAGCGCCAAAAAGUACCAUAGUAUUACCAUGAUGUUUAACCAGAGUACCAUGUAAAUAAAUAUCAUGUUACAUGAAUUCCGGUAUCAUGUAUUUGUGAGGGGUAUUUUAAACCUUGCUUCAAUAUAUAGUUGCAGCUUACAUACAUUAAUUAAUUAAUUAAUUAAUGUCUGUAUGUGUGAUGCCAAAGAACGUCCGUGUUACCUCUAGAUACAGUAUCGUAAAGAAAAAUAUCAUUGAUAUGGUCAUGAACUGAUUUUUGUUAUAACAGUUUAUGAUCCGAAAGGUUUAGCUAGAUGUUACUACCAUUUAUGAAUAAUAAAAAAAAAUUCUUAAAGGAGUUUAUGACUCUAUCAUUAAACAUCAUUGUCAGAUAUUAAUGAAUUCAUUUGGUAAAUUAAUUUUUAAAUAUAAAAAUGAAUCAUUUGGUAUCAGUGAUGUAGCAUCAUUAAAAACAAACAUGAUCUGACGAUGAGCAAAAGUACUCUUAACACUGAUUAACCAAAAGAUUCAUUUAUGAUCUACCGAAGAAGAAAUUUAUAACAUGAGGAUCAGUACAUGAUGAUAAUUUAACAUUUUUGUGUAAAAUAUCCCUUUAACUUUUAUUCUACCUGACACAGACUCCAGCAACCCAACAUUCAUCUAUGCCAUUAUUUUUAUAUUUCAUAAUUUAAUAUCAGUUACUCUGUUUUCAGUUGGGGAUUUUUAUACUUAAUUUUUUUUUUUUUAAUUGUUAUGUAUUUUUAUAGUUUAGGUACUUUAAUUUUACCUGAGUCAAUGUCCAUAAAGGUAUCUUUACUUUUUCUUAAGUAUGAGGAUUGGAUACUAUAUACAACUCAGACACACCCUUAGUAAAGACGAAUUUACACAACUGCAUUGAAUGGGUAACAGAUUAGACUGGAUUAGAUUGCACAAGGAUUUACAAACCUUCAUAAGAUGUCUCCAACUCAUUUACUUUUUUAGUUAAUUGUGUCGCUGUUAUGUCACACUUAAAGAUAAAUGCAUAUAAUGACACGGAUGCUUAUAAUUACCACUUAUCCCACAUAUUUAAUUAUCAUAUUUCCACCUUAGUCAUCUUGAGCUGUGUGGGGUAGUUUCGAUGCGGCUCCUCUGGGUGUGUUAGCAUGUCAGCACAGUGUGAUUGUGAACACGGAGAAGAUGAGCUCAGCUGUCAGCACUUAACAUUAGCCAUUAAUGUUCAGUUGCUGAAUGUUGUUGUUGUUUAUCUGCCUGUGCAGUGUGUCUGAGUGGGAAGAGCUCUGUACUUCAGGUGCUCAUUAAUGGAGUUUGGAGGACUGUUUCUGCUGAGAACUGGGACUCUGAGCUUUCCCUAUCUGCUUGCAAACAGCUCGGCUAUCUAAGCUUGUGGUUCCAGACCUAAGUUGAAUGCUUGUAAAGUUUGCGGUAACCUGUUGGUUGCGGGUCAGUUCCCCUGACAGGUGAGCCUGCACUUUCAGAACGAGCACCUGUGUGGAGGCUCCAUUACAUCCUCUCGCUGGAUACUGGAUACUGGAUACUGCACAUAGUGUAUACGGGUUUUGUGGAGCCUAUUUGUUUGCCGAACUUUGGGGAGAAGUUUGAAGAUGGUAAAAUGUGCUGGAUCUCAGGAUGGGGAAUGCUGUAACUGCAGCAUCUCCAAAACAGGGGCUAUCUGGAACCAGCCAAACAGGACACCUCUGGGGCAAAC